RNAcentral lists this ribosomal RNA (427 nucleotides) under uncultured Comamonas sp. Its description in RNAcentral is "bacterial SSU rRNA". It matches the Rfam family "Bacterial small subunit ribosomal RNA", at positions 355 to 774 of the family's 1533-position model. Lineage: Bacteria; Pseudomonadati; Pseudomonadota; Betaproteobacteria; Burkholderiales; Comamonadaceae. The record is from RNAcentral.
UGGGGAAUUUUGGACAAUGGGCGCAAGCCUGAUCCAGCAAUGCCGCGUGCAGGAUGAAGGCCUUCGGGUUGUAAACUGCUUUUGUACGGAACGAAAAGCCCUGGGUUAAUACCCUGGGGUCAUGACGGUACCGUAAGAAUAAGCACCGGCUAACUACGUGCCAGCAGCCGCGGUAAUACGUAGGGUGCAAGCGUUAAUCGGAAUUACUGGGCGUAAAGCGUGCGCAGGCGGUUUUGUAAGACAGAGGUGAAAUCCCCGGGCUCAACCUGGGAACUGCCUUUGUGACUGCAAGGCUAGAGUACGGCAGAGGGGGAUGGAAUUCCGCGUGUAGCAGUGAAAUGCGUAGAUAUGCGGAGGAACACCGAUGGCGAAGGCAAUCCCCUGGGCCUGUACUGACGCUCAUGCACGAAAGCGUGGGGAGCAAACA